CAUGCAGUCGAGGGGUAGUCUAGCAAUAGAUGAGACCGGCGCACGGGUGCGUAACGCGUAUGCAACCUACCUUUUACAGGGGAAUAGCCCAGAGAAAUUUGGAUUAAUGCCCCAUGGUAUAAUUGAAUGGCAUCAUUUAAUUAUUAAAGUUCCAACGGUAAAAGAUGGGCAUGCGUCCUAUUAGCUAGAUGGUAAGGUAACGGCUUACCAUGGCUACGAUAGGUAGGGGUCCUGAGAGGGAGAUCCCCCACACUGGUACUGAGACACGGACCAGACUCCUACGGGAGGCAGCAGUGAGGAAUAUUGGACAAUGGGCGCAAGCCUGAUCCAGCCAUGCCGCGUGCAGGAAGACGCAUCUAUGGUGUGUAAACUGCUUUUGUACGGGAAGAAACACUCCUUCGUGAAGGAGCUUGACGGUACCGUAAGAAUAAGGAUCGGCUAACUCCGUGCCAGCAGCCGCGGUAAUACGGAGGAUCCAAGCGUUAUCCGGAAUCAUUGGGUUUAAAGGGUCCGUAGGCGGUUUAGUAAGUCGGUGGUGAAAGCCCAUCGCUCAGCGAUGGAACGGCCAUUGAUACUGCUAGACUUGAAUUACUAGGAAGUAACUAGAAUAUGUAGUGUAGCGGUGAAAUGCUUAGAUAUUUCAUGGAAUACCAAUUGCGAAGGCAGGUUACUACUAGUGGAUUGACGCUGAUGGA
Molecule: ribosomal RNA, 695 nt
Filed under: uncultured bacterium
Lineage: Bacteria
Description: bacterial SSU rRNA
Rfam family: Bacterial small subunit ribosomal RNA
Source: RNAcentral